Molecule: ribosomal RNA, 1030 nt
Filed under: Vibrio vulnificus
Lineage: Bacteria; Pseudomonadati; Pseudomonadota; Gammaproteobacteria; Vibrionales; Vibrionaceae
Description: bacterial SSU rRNA
Rfam family: Bacterial small subunit ribosomal RNA
Source: RNAcentral
GCACCGGCUAACUCCGUGCCAGCAGCCGCGGUAAUACGGAGGGUGCGAGCGUUAAUCGGAAUUACUGGGCGUAAAGCGCAUGCAGGUGGUUUGUUAAGUCAGAUGUGAAAGCCCGGGGCUCAACCUCGGAACUGCAUUUGAAACUGGCAGACUAGAGUACUGUAGAGGGGGGUAGAAUUUCAGGUGUAGCGGUGAAAUGCGUAGAGAUCUGAAGGAAUACCGGUGGCGAAGGCGGCCCCCUGGACAGAUACUGACACUCAGAUGCGAAAGCGUGGGGAGCAAACAGGAUUAGAUACCCUGGUAGUCCACGCUGUAAACGAUGUCUACUUGGAGGUUGUGGCCUUGAGCCGUGGCUUUCGGAGCUAACGCGUUAAGUAGACCGCCUGGGGAGUACGGUCGCAAGAUUAAAACUCAAAUGAAUUGACGGGGGCCCGCACAAGCGGUGGAGCAUGUGGUUUAAUUCGAUGCAACGCGAAGAACCUUACCUACUCUUGACAUCCAGAGAAUCUAGCGGAGACGCUGGAGUGCCUUCGGGAACUCUGAGACAGGUGCUGCAUGGCUGUCGUCAGCUCGUGUUGUGAAAUGUUGGGUUAAGUCCCGCAACGAGCGCAACCCUUAUCCUUGUUUGCCAGCGAGUAAUGUCGGGAACUCCAGGGAGACUGCCGGUGAUAAACCGGAGGAAGGUGGGGACGACGUCAAGUCAUCAUGGCCCUUACGAGUAGGGCUACACACGUGCUACAAUGGCGCAUACAGAGGGCGGCCAACUUGCGAAAGUGAGCGAAUCCCAAAAAGUGCGUCGUAGUCCGGAUUGGAGUCUGCAACUCGACUCCAUGAAGUCGGAAUCGCUAGUAAUCGUGGAUCAGAAUGCCACGGUGAAUACGUUCCCGGGCCUUGUACACACCGCCCGUCACACCAUGGGAGUGGGCUGCAAAAGAAGUGGGUAGUUUAACCUUCGGGAGGACGCUCACCACUUUGUGGUUCAUGACUGGGGUGAAGUCGUAACAAGGUAGCGCUAGGGGAACCUGGCGCU